CAUAGGUUAAUGAGGCGAACCGGGGGAACUGAAACAUCUAAGUACCCCGAGGAAAAGAAAUCAACCGAGAUUCCCCCAGUAGCGGCGAGCGAACGGGGAGGAGCCCAGAGCCUGAAUCAGCAUGUGUGUUAGUGGAAGCGUCUGGAAAGGCGCGCGAUACAGGGUGACAGCCCCGUACACAAAAGCGCAUGUGCUGUGAGCUCGAUGAGUAGGGCGGGACACGUGGUAUCCUGUCUGAAUAUGGGGGGACCAUCCUCCAAGGCUAAAUACUCCUGACUGACCGAUAGUGAACCAGUACCGUGAGGGAAAGGCGAAAAGAACCCCGGCGAGGGGAGUGAAAAAGAACCUGAAACCGUGUACGUACAAGCAGUGGGAGCACCCUUUGGGGUGUGACUGCGUACCUUUUGUAUAAUGGGUCAGCGACUUAU
RNAcentral lists this ribosomal RNA (428 nucleotides) under Salmonella enterica subsp. enterica serovar Oranienburg. RNAcentral's name for it is "partial 23S ribosomal RNA". It matches the Rfam family "Bacterial large subunit ribosomal RNA", at positions 165 to 631 of the family's 2925-position model. Lineage: Bacteria; Pseudomonadati; Pseudomonadota; Gammaproteobacteria; Enterobacterales; Enterobacteriaceae. RNAcentral also lists the same sequence under 2 other names. The record is from RNAcentral.